CGGGCGUCCUCACAAAUUACCUGCAUUCAGAGAUUCAUACCGGCACAGGUCGGUAUGCGAAGUCCCUUUUGGGGCCUUAGCUCAGCUGGGAGAGCACCUGCUUUGCAAGCAGGGGGUCGUCGGUUCGAUCCCGACAGGCUCCACCAUAUUGAGUGAAAAGACUUCGGGUCUGUAGCUCAGGUGGUUAGAGCGCACCCCUGAUAAGGGUGAGGUCGGUAGUUCGAGUCUACCCAGACCCACCACUCUGAAUGUAGUGCACACUUAAGAAUUUAUAUGGAUCAGCGUUGAGGCUGAUACAUGUUCUUUUAUAACUUGUGACGUAGCGAGCGUUUGAGAUAUCUAUCUAAACGUGUCGUUGAGGCUAAGGCGGGGACUUCGAGUCCCUAAAUAAUUGAGUCGUAUGUUCGCGUUGGUGGCUUUGUACCCCACACAACACGGCAUGUAGCUCCGAGGCAACUUGGGGUUAUAUGGUCAAGCGAAUAAGCGCACACGGUGGAUGCCUAGGCGGUCAGAGGCGAUGAAGGACGUGGUAGCCUGCGAAAAGUGUCGGGGAGCUG
RNAcentral lists this unclassified non-coding RNA (557 nucleotides) under Xanthomonas campestris pv. raphani. Its description in RNAcentral is "partial contains 16S-23S ribosomal RNA intergenic spacer and 23S ribosomal RNA". The stretch from base 166 to 239 matches the Rfam family "tRNA". Lineage: Bacteria; Pseudomonadati; Pseudomonadota; Gammaproteobacteria; Lysobacterales; Lysobacteraceae. The record is from RNAcentral.